Rhinichthys klamathensis goyatoka is the source of this 186-nucleotide long non-coding RNA. RefSeq lists it as uncharacterized. The record is from RefSeq and is a predicted model, not a curated record. Lineage: Eukaryota; Metazoa; Chordata; Actinopteri; Cypriniformes; Leuciscidae. The transcript is spliced from 2 exons.
GGAACACCAUACUAAUACUGUGUUUGACCCCCUUUCGCCUUCAGAACUGCCUUAAUUCUACGUGGGCACGAAGCUCCCGUUCCACCACAUCCCAAAGAUGCUCUAUUGGGUUGAGAUCUGGUGACUGUGGGGGCCAUUUUAGUACAGUGAACUCAUUGUCAUGUUCAAGAAACCAAUUUGAAAUGA